This is a non-coding RNA of Clostridiales bacterium 41_21_two_genomes, 87 nucleotides long. Lineage: Bacteria; Bacillati; Bacillota; Clostridia; Eubacteriales. The record is from Rfam.
GAAAGCCGUAUACAUCGAGAGGUGUACGUGCGGUUUGGGAGGGAGGGGAUGCAAGUCCUGUAAAGGACAAGCUGAACCUUACCUCAU